RNAcentral lists this transfer RNA (73 nucleotides) under Stegodyphus mimosarum. It matches the Rfam family "tRNA". Rfam says of the family: Transfer RNA (tRNA) molecules are approximately 80 nucleotides in length. Their secondary structure includes four short double-helical elements and three loops (D, anti-codon, and T loops). Lineage: Eukaryota; Metazoa; Arthropoda; Arachnida; Araneae; Eresidae. The record is from Rfam by way of RNAcentral.
GCCUUUGUGGUGUAGUGGUCAGCACGCUCGGCGCGCAUUCGAGAGGUCCGUGGUUCGAAUCCUGGCCAAGGCA